AGAGUUUGAUCCUGGCUCAGAACGUACGCUGGCGGCACGCCUAACACAUGCAAGUCGAACGCAGUAGCAAUACUGAGUGGCAAACGGGUGAGUAUAAUGUGGGAAUCUGCCUUUUGGUUUGGAAUAACACGGGGAAACUUGUGCUAAUACCGAAUAAGCCCUUACGGGGAAAGUUUUAAUGCCGAAAGAUGAGCCCGCACUUGAUUAGCUAGUUGGUAAGGUAAAAGCUUACCAAGGCAAUGAUCAAUAGCUGUUCUUAGAGGAAGACCAGCCACAUUGGGACUGAGACACGGCCCAGACUCCUACGGGAGGCAGCAGUGGGGAAUCUUGCACAAUGGGGGAAACCCUGAUGCAGCGAUGCCGCGUGAGUGAAGAAGGCCUUUGGGUUGUAAAACUCUUUCGUCGGGGAAGAAAAUGACUGUACCCGAAUAAGAAGGUCCGGCCAACUUCGUGCCAGCAGCCGCGGUAAUAC
This 472-nucleotide ribosomal RNA is filed under the name uncultured bacterium. RNAcentral's name for it is "bacterial SSU rRNA". It matches the Rfam family "Bacterial small subunit ribosomal RNA", at positions 8 to 526 of the family's 1533-position model. The record is from RNAcentral.